GUCUUCAGCAGUUGACUAGAAUGUUGCAUUUAUGAGUGAUAAAUAACUGUCUCUUUCAUUCUCAAGUCCUCAUAUUGAGAACCCUUGCACUCAAGGGGCUAUACUUCAGAUACCAUAACCCAGGCAGCUUAUCCCCCUGCAGCUAUGAUAGUAAGAUCUUGGGACUCAAGCCCUGAACCUGAUGCCAUGAUAACUGAGACUUGCAGGAGAGCACGAGUCUGAGCGGCGCAGAACGUGAGGGACCCAAGGGAUCCAACGCAGGCUCUGCUGACAGCAGAAAGCCUGAUGCAGGGCUCAAUCUCAAGACCGUGGAGAUCAUGACCUGAGCCAAAGGCAGACUCUGAUUGGACUGGAGCCAGCCAGGCACCCCUCAAUUUAGUAUUUCAUUUCUUAGCAUAAAUUUAGAAUAAAAGCUUUGUUAUA
Long non-coding RNA from Neofelis nebulosa (Clouded leopard), 423 nucleotides. RefSeq lists it as uncharacterized. The record is from RefSeq and is a predicted model, not a curated record. The transcript is spliced from 2 exons. NCBI's taxonomy places the organism in Eukaryota, Metazoa, Chordata, Mammalia, Carnivora, Felidae.